AACGAACGCUGGCGGCAUGCCUAAUACAUGCGAGUCGAACGAGAUCUUCGGAUCUAGUGGCGCACGGGUGCGUAACGCGUGGGAAUCUGCCCUUGGGUUCGGAAUAACUUCUGGAAACGGAAGCUAAUACCGGAUGAUGACGUAAGUCCAAAGAUUUAUCGCCCAAGGAUGAGCCCGCGUAGGAUUAGCUAGUUGGUGGGGUAAAGGCCCACCAAGGCGACGAUCCUUAGCUGGUCUGAGAGGAUGAUCAGCCACACUGGGACUGAGACACGGCCCAGACUCCUACGGGAGGCAGCAGUAGGGAAUAUUGGACAAUGGGGGAAACCCUGAUCCAGCAAUGCCGCGUGAGUGAUGAAGGCCUUAGGGUUGUAAAGCUCUUUUACCCGGGAUGAUAAUGACAGUACCGGGAGAAUAAGCGCCGGCUAACUCCGUG
RNAcentral lists this ribosomal RNA (433 nucleotides) under uncultured bacterium. Its description in RNAcentral is "partial 16S ribosomal RNA". It matches the Rfam family "Bacterial small subunit ribosomal RNA", at positions 29 to 507 of the family's 1533-position model. The record is from RNAcentral.